GGUAUGUGGACCUAGGAUCUAGACAAGCUCGGGCCAUGAGUUGGUAUGUGGACCUAGGUUUGGGAACAAGUUAGGCCUUGAGUUGGUAUGUAGACCUAGGAUCGGGAACAAGUUAGGCCUUGAGUUGGUAUGUGGACUUAGGAUCGAGAACAAGUUAGGCCAUGAGUUGGUAUGUGGACCUAGGAUCUAGACAAGCUCAGGCCAUGAGUUGGUAUGUGGACCUAGGAUUGAGAACAAGUUAGGCCAUGAGUUGGUAUGUAGACCUAGGAUCUAGACAAGCUCGGCCAUGAGUUGGUAUGUGGACCUAGGUUUGGGAACAAGUUAGGCCUUGAGUUGGUAUGUGGACCUAGGAUCGAGAACAAGUUAGGCCUUGAGUUGGUAUGUGGACUUAAGAUCGAGAACA
Molecule: long non-coding RNA, 403 nt
Organism: Haliotis rubra (blacklip abalone)
Lineage: Eukaryota; Metazoa; Mollusca; Gastropoda; Lepetellida; Haliotidae
Exons: 4
Source: RefSeq, a predicted model, not a curated record